This 496-nucleotide ribosomal RNA is filed under the name uncultured bacterium. RNAcentral's name for it is "partial 16S ribosomal RNA". It matches the Rfam family "Bacterial small subunit ribosomal RNA", at positions 29 to 507 of the family's 1533-position model. The record is from RNAcentral.
AUGAACGCUGGCGGCGUGCCUAAUACAUGCAAGUCGAGCGAACAGACGAGGAGCUUGCUCCUCUGACGUUAGCGGCGGACGGGUGAGUAACACGUGGAUAACCUACCUAUAAGACUGGGAUAACUUCGGGAAACCGGAGCUAAUACCGGAUAAUAUAUUGAACCGCAUGGUUCAAUAGUGAAAGACGGUUUUGCUGUCACUUAUAGAUGGAUCCGCGCCGCAUUAGCUAGUUGGUAAGGUAACGGCUUACCAAGGCAACGAUGCGUAGCCGACCUGAGAGGGUGAUCCGCCACACUGGAACCGAGACACGGUCCAGACUCCUACGGGAGGCAGCAGUAGGGAAUCUUCCGCAAUGGGCGAAAGCUUGACGGAGCAACGCCGCGUGAGUGAUGAAGGUCUUCGGAUCGUAAAACUCUGUUAUUAGGGAAGAACAAAUGUGUAAGUAACUAUGCACGUCUUGACGGUACCUAAUCAGAAAGCCACGGCUAACUACGUG